CUCAAGUAAAGAUUGUGAUUCUACUGCCUCUCCUGCUCCCAAUUCCCUGUCAGAAUAAUCUGUCUGCUUCAGAAAUAAUUAAUUGUUGUGGGUCAAUCAAGCUGCAAGUAGUAAAUUCAUGGAGCUAAAUCUACUCAACCAACACAUGCAUCAUCAUGUGUCAUGCACAUCAAGGCUGCCACAGCUAGAGACAGGAGAAUUCCAUCCAGAUUUGUGGGCAACAACCAAGACCCAAAAGUUCUUCAUCCCCAUUAGCUGUCUCCACAGACAAGGAUUAAUACCUCUCCAUCAGCUCCUCCAUGACCAGUUCUUCUACUCCUCCUUUGAUCCACUGUUCUGACAGUCCUCGAACACAUGGAUUGUUCAACCACAACCUGCACCAGUUUUGUUCUUCCCUCGCCUGACAACGCUGCCUCUUCAAAGAGAUCCAAAUACUGGAGGUGAUGCCCGAGUGUUUGACCUAGACAUCUGUGUUCGGUCAAACCACAACAACAAAACCGAGCAAAAAAGAAAUCAUUCCACUGUAAUGUGCCAAACAACAACAACAACAAGAAGAACAUGCGAGUCCUCAUCAUGAUGUAGAAAACUCGCGGCCAUUGACUUCUCCGUGACCGACGCCGUGGGCUCAGACUUGAGAGGCGAGGAAACGCCAAACAGUUCACGGUGACGGACGCCGACAGCUCAACCGCGUUCGGUGGGCAGCAGCGCUGCCGGGAGAAGGUGGUCGCCGGUGGGGCACAGCUUUCAUGUGAAGACGAAGCAACGCCAAACCCCACCGACCUCGCAUUGCAUUCAUUUUCU
Molecule: long non-coding RNA, 801 nt
Filed under: Musa acuminata (dwarf banana)
Lineage: Eukaryota; Viridiplantae; Streptophyta; Magnoliopsida; Zingiberales; Musaceae
Description: long non-coding RNA (MACU_LNC003048)
Source: RNAcentral